This 405-nucleotide ribosomal RNA is filed under the name uncultured bacterium. RNAcentral describes it as "partial 16S ribosomal RNA". It matches the Rfam family "Bacterial small subunit ribosomal RNA", at positions 30 to 526 of the family's 1533-position model. The record is from RNAcentral.
AUUGAACGCUAGCGGGAUGCUUUACACAUGCAAGUCGAACGAGUGGCGGAAGGGUGAGUAAUCUAUCGGAACGUGCCCAGUAGAGGGGGAUAACUACUCGAAAGAGGAGCUAAUAACGCAUACUAUUGGAGGGGCCGAUAUCGGAUUAGCUAGUUGGUGGGGUAAAGGCUGACCAAGGCAAAGAUCCGUAGCUGGUUUGAGAGGAAGAGCAGCCACCCUGGGACUGAGACACGGCCCAGACUCCUACGGGAUGCAGCAGGGGGGAAUUUUGGACAAUGGGGGAAACCCUGAUCCAGCCAUCCCGCGUUUAUGAGAAGGCCUUCGGGUUGUAAAGUACUUUUGGCAGAGAAGCGGUAUCUGCAGAAUAAGCACCGGCUAACUACGUGCCAGCAGCCGCGGUAAUUC